GAUGAACGCUGGCGGCGUGCCUAAUACAUGCAAGUCGAGCGAACAGACGAGGAGCUUGCUCCUCUGACGUUAGCGGCGGACGGGUGAGUAACACGUGGAUAACCUACCUAUAAGACUGGGUUAACUUCGGGAAACCGGAGCUAAUACCGGAUAACAUGUUGAACCGCAUGGUUCAACAGUGAAAGACGCUCUUGCUGUCACUUAUAGAUGGAUCCGCGCCGCCUUAGCUAGUUGGUAAGGUAACGGCUUACCAAGGCAACGAUGCGUAGCCGACCUGAGAGGGUGAUCGGGCCCACUGGCACUGAGACACGGUCCAGCCUCCUCGGGGAGGCAGCAGUAGGGAAUCUUGCGCAAUGGGCGAAAGCCUGACGGAGCAACGCCGCGUGAGUGAAGAAGGUCUUCGGAUCGUAAAACUCUGUUAUUAGGGAAGAACAAAUGUGUAAGUAACUAUGCACGUCUUGACGGUACCUAAUCAGAAAGCCACGGCUAACUACGUG
RNAcentral lists this ribosomal RNA (497 nucleotides) under uncultured bacterium. RNAcentral's name for it is "partial 16S ribosomal RNA". It matches the Rfam family "Bacterial small subunit ribosomal RNA", at positions 28 to 507 of the family's 1533-position model. The record is from RNAcentral.